GGGCCUGAUCGGUUUCGACUGUUUGAUCAGAGUAAUUGGAAGCGUGCUGGUGUUUGAUUCUAUUUCCACCAUAAGCGAAUGAAUCACCUAAUUAAGCGCCGACGAUAAUGUUGACGCUGAUUACGUUGCCGCUGGCAUCGCUGACGUCGAGGCAUUCCUCGCCGACAGCGUUCUCGCUAAGGCGUGAUCAGGUUAUAGGCACUCCGCUUUUCCGGCGUCUAUAACAUACUCAGAAGGAAAAGUCAGGCACAGUAGCUAUCGCCAAUAUACAACUACUGUGUAAGCAAAAAAGAAUUGGCAAAGAUGUUCAGGUAGGUUGUUAGUAACAAGCCUGAGUCUCACGUUUAAACUAACUACGCACGUAGAAGCUAUUACAAAGAAAGACAGGACGGGUGUUCGAUUCACCCCAGGUCCAC
Molecule: transfer-messenger RNA, 416 nt
Filed under: Gordonia phage Gibbles
Lineage: Duplodnaviria; Heunggongvirae; Uroviricota; Caudoviricetes
Description: 97
Rfam family: transfer-messenger RNA
About the family: Bacterial tmRNA, also known as 10Sa RNA or SsrA, is named for its dual tRNA and mRNA-like properties. Its role is to liberate the mRNA from a stalled ribosome. To accomplish this part of the tmRNA is used as a reading frame that ends in a translation stop signal.
Source: RNAcentral